This is a long non-coding RNA of Ictalurus punctatus (channel catfish), 3237 nucleotides long. NCBI's taxonomy places the organism in Eukaryota, Metazoa, Chordata, Actinopteri, Siluriformes, Ictaluridae. The record is from Ensembl.
UUAAGGAGUGAGAGGCAUUAUUUUAGACAAAUGAUCCAAAGUCAUCACAGUGAUACAAUAACUGAGAGAUUUGCUGAGCGAAACACAUGAACAUAUGGAUUGAUUAAAAUAUAGGAAAGGAAACAGACCUGGAAGCGGUGAAAGGGCUCUUUUUUGAUCCUUUAAUAAUGUGCAGUCUUUAUAUAACCUCAGGUAAGCAGUGGAAUAAGACAUUUUGAUAAGAAUCUCUUUUUUUUUUUGAGUUUGACAAAUGGCAUUGACAUUUCCAUUUGUAGCUAUAUUAAAUAUAAAUACGGGCUUCUUUUUUUUUCUUUAUCCAAAGGAUCUAUGAGAGACGGCAGGUGUUAGUCAUUUUCUUUGUGACGGUGCACCUUAGUCAUCCUAAAUAACACACAUCUGAGUGCAAUUUAAUAAACAUGUGGACUGCUGAACUGCUCGUUUUUACAUCUUCUCUCAAGAACACCACCAAUUUCCCUGUAUUUUGGAGAGACGAGGUAUUUUCUUCUCUGCUUGCCUUCUCAUUACAACCACUGUUGUAAACUAGGAACUUGAGAGAUUAGCAUCUUUAUGCUAAUUCAGUAAUAGUCAAUAAUUAUAGUACGGUUCAACACCCAUGUGUGGGUUACUUCAAGGAGUAAUUCAUGAUCAUAAUCAAAAGCACAGUAUAUUUAACAAUAGCUCAGUUUCAAAUAGCAUGAAAACAACUUUGGUAUGUACGGAAGCCUUAAGCGGAGAUGCAUGAUUAAUUAUUUCUUUCUCAUUUUCUCGUGAUCCUGACAUAAGAAAAGUUGUUUUCUCGUGAUCUCGGCUUCGUUUUUCUGUGUACUCGACAUCCAUCAUCUUGAAGGUAACGGGUUUUUUUGAAUGGCUUUUUGGUUAAAUGCCUGAAGUAAGGUCUGGGGUUAACACAAGCUCUAGAUAUGUUCACGUUUUAUACAAUGGCGUAAAAUACAUCAGUAAGACCCCAGUCGGGAUUUUUUGAAAAGCUUUUAUGUGUCUUGAAAAAGCUGAUUGCUAACAAGUGGCUAAAUGGUACUACAGAGGUUGUCGAGGACAUUAAACGUCAUCACGCCGAACAGGAAAUCUCGUCUGCUACAGCCUCGUUGUGUUUAUACUAUUCCAACUCAAACUUUCCAACUUUUGGAUUUAUCCAUUUAUAGCAUUUUUUUAUUGCAUUGUGUUGUUUUUUUUUUUUAAAUUAGUUUUGUUUCAGGUUUGUUUCAGUCAUGGCUCCUAUUUACAAGUUUUAAGUGAAAACAUACCUUUUUUUUUAAAAGUCAUUACAUUCACUCAUAUUUUUAUUUGUAACCAUUGCUUUCAACGUAUUUGUUAUAGUAGUGACUAUAGCAGUAGUAGCAUUACAAUCCACGGUUUUGUUCACCCAUUUUUUCAUUGAUCUCUCUGCAAAUAUACACAUGUUCUAAUGCUGGAUGCCUUGCUUUUGAGUGCUUUAUACUCCAGGUGGUGGACAGAGACAUGGAGUUAAAGUGGGAGUUGCUUUAAUUACGGUGAUUCUCGCACUUCAAUCAGAACUCCUACUGCUAGCUCAAGCACCUGUGACAAGGUUGCCUGGAUACAAAGAGUCCUUUUUUCUGUCAUCACGCACUGCAAUGUUUUUACACACUCACACUCACACACACACACACACACACACACACAGGUACGUCAUGCUCACUUUUCCUGCGUCCAGACAAACUGACUUCUCCUCAUUCCCUCUCUUUGCUCCUGUCUCCACAAAUAUAAAAUAGCACAGCCAUUUUGAUCAGAUUUCAAAGACGCCAUUUCCAUUUUUGCGCAUUCACGCCUCAAGCCUCUGCACUUGAAAUUCAGCCCGUGUCCUUUUUUCCAGAGUGAUUUAUGGUGUUUGGUAGGCCGGUAAGGGAUCACCGUCGUGCAGAACCGCUUCUUUGAUUUAAUGCAUUUAACUUUCUUUCUCGCCACGCCUCGCAUUCUCCACUCUCUCAUCUUUCCCUUUGUUAUAGUUCACCGGGGAUUUUCAUUUCAUUUUGGUAGGGGCGCGUUUCGCAUCAGUGAGAGACCUACGACGUUUGUGUCAAUGCACAUAGACUGUGCUGCUGGCUCAUUCUUUGAUCACCUGUAAGUUUUGCAUGGGUGAAAUAUUAUUUACUCAGGUUAUAUUUGCACCGUUUAAAGGGUAUAAAAGUCAGUCAGGUCUUUUAUGUCAAAACAGAAAAUAAAUCUCAAUCUCAAGCAAUAUAAAUAAGGUUAAGUGGACGUGCGAUGAAGAGACGGAGCUGGACGUUCCGAUCCCUAUGACGGAUAAGGAAUGAGAAUGUCACGAGAAAGGCAGGGAUGGGUAAACAAUACGAACACAUAAUACAUCUUCUAUACAGUUGAGGUCAUAAGUUUACAUACUCCUUACAGAAUCUGCGAAAUGUUAGUAAUUUUAUUUUAUUUUUUUAAAAGAAGAGGAUCAUAAAAAUGUCAUUGUUUUUUUUUAUUGAGUCCUGCCCUGAAUAAGCUAUUUCACAUAACAGAUGUUUACAUAAAGGCCACAAGACACAAUAAUCACUGAAUUUACACAAAUGAACCAGUAAAACAGGAUGAUUGGAAUAAAUUGCUAUUAUUUUGUUUAAAGAUCUUUCUUUUUUUUUUUUUUUUUCAUUUAGCACUGCUCUUCAGAAGUUACAUAAGAUAUUUACAUGUUUCCAUCCAUUCAUUUUCUAUACGAUUAUCCUACAGGGUCGUGGGGAACCUGGACGGGGUGCCAAUCCAUCGCAGGGCACAAUCACAUACACAUUCACACACCCAUUCAUACAUUAUGCAUGCCUUUGGACUGGAGGAGGAAACCGGAGUACCUGGAGGAAACCUCCGCAGCACGGGGAGAACACGCAAACUCCACACACACAGGGCAGCGGCGGGAAUCAAACCCUCAACUCUGGAGCGAUGGAGUCUGGUCUGAGGCGGGAGACGAGUGGUGUGCAGAUGUGCAAAGAGGACCAGAGAGAAAAAGAGGGAGGGAAAGAAGACGGGGAAGACGGGGAAGAGGAGCAACAAAACAUCGAAGUGAUUGUCUUACCUUAAAGAUUCUUUUCAAUAUAGUAAAUGAUUAUAAUAGUUUCCAUAAACAGACAAACAUACAAGAACUCUCUCUCUCUCUCUCUCUCUCUCUCUCUCUCUCUCUCUCUCUCUCUCUCACACACACACACAUAUUUUGGAAAUUGGCAUCACUCAGAUUUUGUCUUGCCUUAAAAUCCUCAAGAAUUUUCAUUCCCC